Long non-coding RNA from Anopheles stephensi (Asian malaria mosquito), 297 nucleotides. RefSeq lists it as uncharacterized. The record is from RefSeq and is a predicted model, not a curated record. The transcript is spliced from 2 exons. NCBI's taxonomy places the organism in Eukaryota, Metazoa, Arthropoda, Insecta, Diptera, Culicidae.
GUUCAAAUCGUUAACACAUCAAACAAACAAGCUCCUGUAAAAAAAAGCGUCUGCACUCGCCUGGAACAAAACCCGCGCAAACUAAUUCGCACAAUAUCGAUACACCUCACACUUCCCCCCUAGCCUAGCCACAAAACGUCUCCUCUGGUGCAAUCAUCCAUCCUACACAUAGAAGAAAGCGACAAGAACAAACACGUGUGAAGAACAAGAGCGAACAUGAAAUAAAUACCACCAAAAAAACGCGUUGGCGACAAAGCAAAACCAAGCCAAACAAGGAACAACACCAUAUAUACUUUU